Molecule: transfer RNA, 102 nt
Filed under: Methylobacterium frigidaeris
Lineage: Bacteria; Pseudomonadati; Pseudomonadota; Alphaproteobacteria; Hyphomicrobiales; Methylobacteriaceae
Description: tRNA-Ala
Source: RNAcentral
GACCGAGGUCGCCGAGCGGGUGUGCCAGCCGACCGGUGCGCGCCCGGUCGCGUCGCGGAUCGCCGCGACCGCCCGGGCGAUCGUGUCCCGCUCCUCGGUCUC